Herpailurus yagouaroundi (jaguarundi) is the source of this 219-nucleotide long non-coding RNA. RefSeq lists it as uncharacterized. The transcript is spliced from 2 exons. The record is from RefSeq and is a predicted model, not a curated record. Lineage: Eukaryota; Metazoa; Chordata; Mammalia; Carnivora; Felidae.
AGCUAAUAUUUAUUAUUUUAAUUUUCAGAUGGUGACCCAGAUAACUAUAUUGCUUACUAUCGGAGAGCUACUGUCUUUUUAGCUAUGGGCAAAUCAAAAGCAGCACUUCCUGAUUUAACUAAGGUGAUUGAACUGAAGAUGGAUUUUACUGCAGCAAGAUUACAGAGAGGUCACUUAUUACUCAAACAAGGAAAACUUGAUGAAGCAGAAGAUGAUUUU